AAACUCAAAGGAAUUGACGGGGCCCGCACAAGCGGUGAAGUAUGUGGUUUAAUUCGAUGAUACGCGAGGAACCUUACCUGGGCUUAAAUGGGGAGUGACAGCUGCUGAAAGGUGGUUUUCUUCGGACACUCUUCAAGGUGCUGCAUGGUUGUCGUCAGCUCGUGCCGUGAGGUGUCGGGUUAAGUCCCAUAACGAGCGCAACCCUUACUGUUAGUUGCCAGCGGGUAGAGCCGGGAACUCUAACGGGACUGCCACCGUAAGGUGAGAGGAAGGUGGGGAUGACGUCAAAUCAGCACGGCCCUUAUGUCCAGGGCUACACACGUGUUACAAUGGCCGGUACAAAGGGCAGCUACCCCGCGAGGGGAUGCUAAUCUCGAAAGCCGGUCUCAGUUCGGAUCGAAGUCUGCAACCCGACUUCGUGAAGUUGGAUUCGCUAGUAAUCGCGCAUCAGCCAUGGCGCGGUGAAUACGUUCCCGGGCCUU
Molecule: ribosomal RNA, 482 nt
Filed under: uncultured Sphingobacteriales bacterium
Lineage: Bacteria; Pseudomonadati; Bacteroidota; Sphingobacteriia; Sphingobacteriales
Description: bacterial SSU rRNA
Rfam family: Bacterial small subunit ribosomal RNA
Source: RNAcentral